This 253-nucleotide ribosomal RNA is filed under the name uncultured bacterium. RNAcentral describes it as "partial 16S ribosomal RNA". It matches the Rfam family "Bacterial small subunit ribosomal RNA", at positions 524 to 777 of the family's 1533-position model. The record is from RNAcentral.
UACGAAGGUGGCAAGCGUUGUUCGGAUUACUGGGCGUACAGGGAGCGUAGGCGGUUGGAUAAGCCCUCCGUGAAAUCUCCAGGCUUAACCUGGAAAGUGCAGAGGGGACUGUUCAGCUAGAGGAUGGGAGAGGAGCGCGGAAUUCCCGGUGUAGCGGUGAAAUGCGUAGAGAUCGGGAGGAAGGCCGGUGGCGAAGGCGGCAUCCUGGACCGGCAUUGACGCUGAGGCGCGAAAGCCAGGGGAGCAAAGCGGG